Molecule: long non-coding RNA, 545 nt
Filed under: Gallus gallus (chicken)
Lineage: Eukaryota; Metazoa; Chordata; Aves; Galliformes; Phasianidae
Source: RNAcentral
AUUGUGGUCUUUUUCAACCCAGGCCAUUCUAUGAUUCUAUAGGCACAUGUUUAUUCAUUGUUUAAGGUUGUUAUGAAUGAAGCUUUCGCAACAGCUAAGCAGCCCACAUUACCAUUUAUUAGUCAGAAUCACAGUGAUGCAGAAAAAUACAAAACUAUGCUAUUAUUCCCAAACUACAGCACUCAGCUUACUAGAAAAAAUAAAAAUCCAUGCUGCUUAAUUUCAGGAGGUUUAGUAUUAAAGUUACAAGCUGAAGCAUCCAGCAGUGUUGCUUCUUACCAUCACUGGAGUUGUCCCAGAAGCAAGAGCUUGCUGUAUGUAGCCCAGCGCCAUUCUUUUGCAUUAUCACACAGGUCACAAUAUACUUGAAAGGUUUCCCCAGCUUGGUGAGCUGGCUUAGAGAUUGUUCCACCACACUUGUUGUCCACUGGUUCACCUUGCUGUGCUGGUAGGCAUUGCCACCUAUUGCGCUUUCUAUGGCCUCUUUAAUGAUGUUACUGACUUCGUCAACAACAAAAGAUGUCUCCUCCCCCGCCUGGAAAUCG